GCGGCGAGAGUUUCUCCUUCACCUCAGGUGGGCGAUCGGUUUGGUGGGUAGGCAUGGGCAGCAUAGUGAGUCCGUCUGCUCGGGCUCUCUGUCUUUGUGGUAAGGGAUAGCCGGUGUUCUUGCUGUGACAUCGCCGCCAGCGGCGGUGGAUUCUCAUCCUGCGCGGCGGUUGGCGGGUUGGUAGCUUGGGGGCUAUGGCCCUGUCCGAC
Molecule: non-coding RNA, 209 nt
Organism: Pelobates cultripes (western spadefoot toad)
Lineage: Eukaryota; Metazoa; Chordata; Amphibia; Anura; Pelobatidae
Source: the annotation of a GenBank genome assembly